UUACAAACACAGGGAAUACAAAUAAGAUAAAAAAAGAAAAAGAGAAAUUGGACGCGAAAAGGCGUAAUGAAUUCAUGUAUACAGAUAUGCAUUGGAUUCGUUUUGAUUACAGGUUGUUUGUAACAGAGAAAAUGAAUAAUUACAAGAACAAACAAGGAACGCAUGAGUUUUCG
This 173-nucleotide non-coding RNA is filed under the name Foraminifera environmental sample. Lineage: Eukaryota; Foraminifera. The record is from RNAcentral.